GUGGCUCCUGCGGGCCCAGUCCUCCGCUGGGCUGCGGCCGCCCAUCUUCCCAACCCGCCGAAGCAGUUGAGAACCCGCAUUUCUGACGAGCUGCCAGGCGACACCAAGGGCGCUGAUUUACGUUUUGCAGUUUCUGUUUGCACACGUUGCAGUGUAUAAUGAUUACAUUCAUCGUGCGGUGUUGGUCCUCCAGUCCCCCUCCUGACUCCGUCCACCCUCUGCGCACCCAAAUCCUCCAGUCUUCUCCCGGUAUGAUGACCUGCCACGCACGUGGUCUCUACCCCUCCUCCACAAUCCCGUGAAAGCGACUCCCCAGCUGUGUCUCCUUGGAGGGAAUCUUGCACUCUUCUGACACCCUCCGGUGCCCACAAUAAGGCCUCUUUAUCUCAACUGCGCCGAAAAACCUAAGAACAUCCAUUCAUUUUUCAUCCUCUUCCUCUCCCAGCGCCACACCCAUCUCUUGGUCUCCUUCCCCUGUGCAAAAGGUCUAUGUUU
Molecule: long non-coding RNA, 495 nt
Filed under: Cavia porcellus (domestic guinea pig)
Lineage: Eukaryota; Metazoa; Chordata; Mammalia; Rodentia; Caviidae
Description: lncRNA (ENSCPOG00000037455.1)
Source: RNAcentral